ACUGACCUUUGUUUGACGGUAAUCAAUUAGAAAGUCACGGCUAACUACGUGCCAGCAGCCGCGGUAAUACGUAGGUGGCAAGCGUUGUCCGGAUUUAUUGGGCGUAAAGCGAGUGCAGGCGGCUCGAUAAGUCUGAUGUGAAAGCCUUCGGCUCAACCGGAGAAUUGCAUCAGAAACUGUCGAGCUUGAGUACAGAAGAGGAGAGUGGAA
This 210-nucleotide ribosomal RNA is filed under the name Lactobacillus iners. RNAcentral describes it as "partial 16S ribosomal RNA". It matches the Rfam family "Bacterial small subunit ribosomal RNA", at positions 457 to 666 of the family's 1533-position model. The record is from RNAcentral. Lineage: Bacteria; Bacillati; Bacillota; Bacilli; Lactobacillales; Lactobacillaceae.